This 24-nucleotide small RNA is filed under the name Brassica napus (rape). RNAcentral describes it as "PsRNA_17". Lineage: Eukaryota; Viridiplantae; Streptophyta; Magnoliopsida; Brassicales; Brassicaceae. The record is from RNAcentral.
CGAGGUCCGGCUUAACAUCGUUAA